RNAcentral lists this long non-coding RNA (2208 nucleotides) under Homo sapiens (human). RNAcentral describes it as "HSALNT0183426". The record is from RNAcentral. Lineage: Eukaryota; Metazoa; Chordata; Mammalia; Primates; Hominidae.
UGAUUGCGCAAGCGCAGAAAAUGGGCCCUCUUGGCCGUCGGGACUUGUACUGUUGGUGACUCCGUCUCCUUAGACGGUGGAGCCUGCGUGACCCAGAAAGGCCGCCUCGGGACCCAGACCAGGAUUUCCAUCAGCUCCCCUGGCUCGCAGGCCUUCUGACUUCUGACUCACCAUCAGCUCUCCUGGAUCCAGCUUGCCAAUGGCAGAUCGUGGGACUCCUUGCCCUCUAAUCGCAUGAAACAAUGCCCACAAGAGAAAAUAAAAGCAGUCAGAGGAGAAUGGAGAAUUUCCCCUAUUCCCCAGCAUGUGGAGCCAUGGACUCUGCCUUCUCCCAGUCAAGAUGGGGCAGGUCUCACUAUGUUGCCCAUUCUGGUCUUGAACUCUUGGACUCAAGCAAUCCUCCCACCUCGGACUUCCAAAGUGCUGGAAUCACAGGCUUGAGAUACCAUGCCCAGCCAAUUUAUUGUGAUGGUGAGCUCCUUAGAGGGAAGUAUAGUACAUAUUUCCUCCAUGUCUCCAGUACCCAACACAGUGCCUGACGUUGAGAGGGCUCUUAAUAAGUGUUUGUGAAAGACUGGUAGAGCAAUGCCCUAUGAAACAAGAAGCUGGAUAACACUGCUUAGGACUCAGAGGAGAGAGGAGUGUGGUCUACACUGCACAUCUCUGCCAAGCCUGGCACGGGAUUUGAAGUUCCACACCACUGAGCCAAACACAUCCAGACCCUCUUCCAACCCGGGGAUCUGGUGGUAAGCAAAAUACUAUUCCAGCAAGUGAUGCCCCCAGUCUCCUAAGGAUAUAAGAAACAGGAAGUUGUGUUUGGCUGCGGACAAACUCUCUCAGUGCCCCUGGGACUUACAAGAUGUUUGGAAUGAGGAACGAUCUGGUUUCUGAGUCCCUGGGCUGCAGCUGUUGAAUUUCCAGACACAAACAAGUAUGCGUUCUGAGAGCCUCGCCGAGCCCACACAACCGGGAGAGCCAAGCUGGAUUCCAUUCUGCUUUGCACAUCAGCAGCUCUGCUGCCAGCUGAACUCCAGGGCAAAAGCUGUGCCUGGUAAUGAUGCAGGCAGCAGGGAUGGCACAGCUGGCCUGGCUUAGGCCGUUAAGGGGGACACGCUUGGCCUUAUUUGGGGGAGAGCGAGAAAUGGAAGGCGAUGAAGAGUUGCGGAAGCAUACAUCAGCCUCCACAAAACUGGUGCACAGCAGGGAAACAAUCUGGUUUUGCUAGUCAUCAACAACAUGCCUGUGUGUGUGCCUGUUUAUGCUUAGGUAAGCCCAGCCUCCCACUCGCUGAAAAGAGUAGGCAGACAAGAAGGAGUGACCAACUCUGAGUCAGCUGUCAUCGUGUAGAGAGCAGCUAAGGGGAACAGUGGGGCUGGAAUCUCAUGGCCUUGCCUAGUGCCCCUACAGCAUCCUCUCUGCCCAUGGUGCCAGAUAUCUGAAUGGGAGGACAAAGGGGGCACAGGUGGUGAAAAAAACCAAGAUGCACAUUUGGGUAUUUUCCUUCUUUUGCUAGAAUGUCAUUUCUUGAUGUCUGUUUCUUGUCACCCAUUUGUGAUCAGGGACUAAGUAAGUUCCCUCUGCACCAGACCAGGUGGAAGACUGAGCCAGAGUUCCUCUGAGCCACAGGAGAGAUGAGGAGCUAUGGAGCGGAGUAGGGGCUGAGGAUCUGGUGCCCCCAGCUAAACUAAAAGGAGGCAGGCAGCAUGUAAGAGGAUGAUGGGGUAGCUCACAGAGAGGAAGGGGAUAUUCUUUCUCAAGAAUGAUGAGCCCAAAGGCAUCGCAUAACAAUUGUGAUCUCCCAGCUGGACGUUUCCUGUAGCACAGGUGUUCACAGUGUGGCUCCCAAACCAGCAGCCUCCAUGUCAGUCACUGGGAACUUGUUAGAAAUGCAGAUUCUCAGGCCACCCCAACCAUUAGAUCAGAAACUCUGGGGAUGGGGCCCCACAAUCUGUGUUUUCUUUUCUUUCUUUCUUUCUUUUUUUUUUUUUUUGAGACAGGGUCUCACUGUGUCAUCCAGGCUGGAGUGCAGUGGCAUGAAAAUGGCUCACUGCAGCCUCAACCUCCUGGGCUCAAGUGACCCUCCCACCUCAGCCUCCUGAGUAGCUGGGACUACAGGCCUGUACCACCAUGACCGACUGAUUUCGUUUUUUAAUUUUUUAUAGAAACAGGGUCUCGCCAUAUUGUCAUGGCUGGUCUUGAACUCCUGGG